This 253-nucleotide ribosomal RNA is filed under the name uncultured bacterium. RNAcentral's name for it is "partial 16S ribosomal RNA". It matches the Rfam family "Bacterial small subunit ribosomal RNA", at positions 524 to 776 of the family's 1533-position model. The record is from RNAcentral. RNAcentral also lists the same sequence under 1 other name.
UACGAAGGGGGCUAGCGUUGUUCGGAAUUACUGGGCGUAAAGCGCGCGCAGGUGGUCUUUCAAGUCAGUGGUGAAAGCCCGGAGCUCAACUCCGGAAAUGCCAUUGAAACUGUGAGACUUGAGGACGAGAGAGGUGAGUGGAAUUCCCAGUGUAGAGGUGAAAUUCGUAGAUAUUGGGAAGAACACCGGUGGCGAAGGCGGCUCACUGGCUCGUAUCUGACGCUCAGGCGCGACAGCGUGGGGAUCAAACAGG